Molecule: ribosomal RNA, 516 nt
Filed under: uncultured bacterium
Lineage: Bacteria
Description: bacterial SSU rRNA
Rfam family: Bacterial small subunit ribosomal RNA
Source: RNAcentral
GAUGAACGCUAGCGGCAGGCCUAAUACAUGCAAGACGAACGGUAAGUUUGAUAGCAAUAUUGAACCUAGAGUGUCGUAAGGGUGCGUAACACGUAUGCAAUCUACCCUCAACAGGAGGAUAGCUCCCCGAAAGGGGAAUUAACACUCCAUAAGAUCACAGGAUGGCAUCAUUCAGUGAUUAAAACUCCGGUGGUUGAGGAUGAGCAUGCGCAUGAUUAGUUAGUUGGCGGGGUAAUGGCCCACCAAGACGAUGAUCAUUAGGGGAACUGAGAGGUUGAUCCCCCACACUGGCACUGAGAUACGGGCCAGACUCCUACGGGAGGCAGCAGUAGGGAAUAUUAGAAAUGGACGAAAGUCUGAUCUAGCAACACCGCGUGUGCGAAUAGGAACGUCCGUUCGGUACGUAACGACUUACGUUUACGGGAAGGUAAGUAGGAAGGUAAGGUACCGGUUACCUACCGGAAAUAAAGUCUCGGGCUAACUACGUGCCAGCAGCCGCGGUAAACUCGUAGUCGU